CAGCCGCCGCGGUAAUACAGAGGGUGCAAGCGUUAAUCGGAAUUACUGGGCGUAAAGUGCGCGUAGGUGGUUUGUUAAGUUGGAUGUGAAAUCCCCGGGCUCAACCUGGGAACUGCAUCCAAAACUGGCAAGCUAGAGUAUGGUAGAGGGUGGUGGAAUUUCCUGUGUAGCGGUGAAAUGCGUAGAUAUAGGAAGGAACACCAGUGGCGAAGGCGACCACCUGGACUGAUACUGACACUGAGGUGCGAAAGCGUGGGGAGCAAACAGGAUUAGAGACCCCCGUAGUCCCUGUCUCUUAUAC
Molecule: ribosomal RNA, 301 nt
Filed under: uncultured bacterium
Lineage: Bacteria
Description: partial 16S ribosomal RNA
Rfam family: Bacterial small subunit ribosomal RNA
Source: RNAcentral